UCCACAUUUUUUAAUCCUUUUUUUUCCCUUCAUCAGUGUGUUAGAUUAGAUUAUGUUACUGCCAUUCGGUGGAAGGUCUUGUGGCCCAUAACUACUGAUUUGCUCAUCUUGCCUUUGCAUAUAUCUUUGUUAUCCUUGUCUAAACAUCCCUUAUCUUGCCUUUGCAUAUAUCUUUGUUAUCCUUGUCUAAACAUCCCUCCCUCUGUUUCCCCACAAUUUAGCUGCAUGUUACUCUGUAAAAACAAAGUUCAAUCUUAAAGCAAACCAAUCCAUGUAGGUCAGUUUAUGUAUCUUAAUUCUUAC
RNAcentral lists this long non-coding RNA (303 nucleotides) under Citrus maxima (pomelo). RNAcentral's name for it is "long non-coding RNA (CMAX_LNC000074)". Lineage: Eukaryota; Viridiplantae; Streptophyta; Magnoliopsida; Sapindales; Rutaceae. The record is from RNAcentral.